GCGCAGGGGAGGGGGAGGGACGCGGGCGGUGCAUGCCGGGAGGCGAGGCGAGGCGAGGCGAGGCGAGGCGGUCGGCGCCCGCCAUCCGGGCAGGGCUGGGGCUCCUGGGUGCCCCUCGGGCUCCGCGGCCCCGGGAGACUACGGAUUGGGAAGGGGCCUGCUGAGUCACGGAAUAUUCUCAGCGCCAGAAUGACUCAGUUCGCAGAACCAGAGCCAGAAGAUCAUGAGUUUCAGUCCUAGAUCAGAACCUGGGCACGGACCCAGACAAGAGUGAGCCAGGACCGGGCGAAGCGGUGCUGUAAAAUGGACCAGCAGAAUGCAGUGGUUCUUAGAUCUUUGAGUCCUCUAGCAAAGUGGAUGCACGAAAUGCAUACACGAGACAGAUUGUUUUAACUUUUCAGAAAAGAUUUUAUGAAUACUGACAAAUUAAAGGCAAACAACACUCCAGAGAAAAGAGUUCUCCCCAUCAGGAUUUACGUAAAUAAUUUCCAGGAAGAAUGCUCAUUAUCUCACACCCAGAUAGAUGAAUAGAGGUACCAGCCCACCAGAAAACCAAGGAGCAUGGGGCAAGCAGUUCAAAAAAAACCAACUUGCUGUUUCGAGAAGAGAGCAGUUUACAAGGCAAGAUUAAAACAAAAAUCUAUCAGGAUUAGAAAAAUUUAUUGUUUUGGGUUUGUUGUCUCUUUUGCUUUUUGUUUUUCUUUUCUGUCUUUUUUUUUUUUUCCUCUUAAAUAAAGAAAAGAAAAAGAA
Cavia porcellus (domestic guinea pig) is the source of this 750-nucleotide long non-coding RNA. RefSeq lists it as uncharacterized. The transcript is spliced from 4 exons. The record is from RefSeq and is a predicted model, not a curated record. NCBI's taxonomy places the organism in Eukaryota, Metazoa, Chordata, Mammalia, Rodentia, Caviidae.